Molecule: RNA transcript, 2805 nt
Organism: Dioscorea cayenensis subsp. rotundata (Guinea yam)
Lineage: Eukaryota; Viridiplantae; Streptophyta; Magnoliopsida; Dioscoreales; Dioscoreaceae
Gene name: anoctamin-like protein Os01g0706700
Exons: 17
Source: RefSeq, a predicted model, not a curated record
ACUCGCCUCCAAAGGCGCGAACCCAGCAAAUCAAACAGCGUUCCCGUCUUUCACGUUUUCAUACCCCUCUUUCUCUCUCUCUUCUUCUCUCGCUCUCGCGGCGCAAGCAGCGAAGCAAGAAGCCAAGUGGCACGCGCUCACUUGGCCCACUCGCGCGCGUCGAAAUUAUCGACCCUUUCCCCCUCUCCACUGUUGCCAUCUCCCUCCCCCCUUUCUCGCCCUUGUCGCAUCCUUCCUCUCUCUUGCUUUAUCGCGCGGUAUUGAUUCGAUUCUUGAGCGGUUCGGUUCUUUCACGCAUUUCAUCGAACACCUUGUUGUUGUUGUUAUUAUUGUUGUUGUUGUUGUUGUUGUUGGUGGUGGUGGUGGUGGUGGUGGUAUCUUGAUGAUGCUGCGGUUUUUGGUAUGAUGGAGUUCUUAUGACCUGUCUAGGGCUUGGUUUUUGGGAUUUGAGAUGAAUGGGACGGGAGAAGAGACCGGGUUCGAGGUGGCGAUUGUGGUGCCGAAGAAAAGGGACAAAGAGAAGGAUGAAAACUGCGAUUGUGUUGAGUUUCUUGUUGAUGAGUUGACGAAGGCGGGGUUGAUUGUUGAGAGGGUGAAUGGGAUCUCGGAUGAGUUUCUCAAGCUGGCAGCGCCAUUGGAGACUUUGGGAAGAGCUGCUUAUGAGUUGCAAAUGAAGAAGUUGACCUAUAUUGGAAUGGAUUUGCAAUUUGAAUGGGAUCAAGUGACAGCAUUUGUGAGGCAACCUGAUGGAUCUUUGUUCAGCUGGUUGGAACGUUAUAACUGUUUUCGACAUCUGAUUUAUGGAAUUGUAAAUGAGACAGAAUCAGAAUUGAUCUUGAAGUUUGAUGGUGAUGAGUUUGCUUUGCAAAGAAAUGAAUCAUUAGUCGAAAGGAUGGAGGUUGAAGGCAUUGUCAAGCAAGUCUUUCCGACACAUGAGGAAGUUACACGGAAGAGACUCUUGAGGAUUUGGGCUCUUAACUGGUUGGGAUUUACUGAACAACCGAUUGAUGAAGUUUAUUCAUAUUUUGGGAUAAAGAUAGCAACAUAUUUUGCUUUUCUUGGAAUGUACACCAAAUGGCUGGUUUUUCCGGCUGUUCUUGGACUUGCUGUGCAGUUGCUUGAUUUUGGAUCAAUGCAGUUGCUUGUCCUUCCGUCUUUCUUCAUAGUCAUUAUUUCAUGGGCUGUGCUUUUAUUCCAAUUCUGGAAGCGCAAGAACUCUGCUCUUUUGGCGAGAUGGGAGAUCAACUAUUCAUUAACAGACUAUAGAGCUAUAAACAUGGAAAUGGCUUCUUUUAAGCAGUCUCAUGAACAACUCCAAGAGAACAUGGAUGCUGAUAAGCCAACAGAGAAAAGGGCAUUGCAAAAAGAUGAGUGGUUUGGUCUUCUGUUAAGAAUAAGGAAUAACGCAAUCAUUGUCAUGGCAAUUAUUUGCCUCCAGCUGCCAUUUGAAUUGGCUUAUGCUCAUCUGUAUGAGAUCAUUGAGUCUGAUGUUCUUAAGUAUGCAGUAACAGCUCUUUAUCUUUUGGCCAUUCAGUACUACACUAAGCUUGGAGGCAAAGUGUCUGUUAUUCUUAUAAAGUAUGAAAAUAAUCAAGGAGAAGAGUCUAGUGCUGAUAGUCUGGUGUACAAGGUGUUUGGCCUGUAUUUUAUGCAAACAUAUAUUGGUUUGUUUUAUCAUGCCCUUUUGCAUCGAAAUUUUACAACUCUUCGUCAAGUUAUCAUUCAGCGAUUGAUUGUUUCACAGAUUCUUGAAAAUUUGGUGGAGAACUCAAUCCCUUACCUUCAGUACAGCUAUAAGAAGUACAAAGCAAUACGGAAGAAAAAGUGUGACAAAAGAUCAGCUGGAGCAAAAUCACCGCAGUUUGCUUCUAGAGUGGAAAAGGAGUAUCUGAAGCCCUCAUAUACUGCAAGUAUUGGAGAGGAGCUUGAAGAUGGUCUAUUUGAUGAUUUCCUUGAGUUGGCUUUGCAGUUUGGGAUGAUUAUGAUGUUUGCAUGUGCAUUCCCUCUCAUAUUCUGCUUUGCUGCUUUGAACAAUAUCACUGAGAUCAGAACUGAUGCACUGAAGCUACUUGUCAUGCUUAAGAGGCCUGUUCCUCGUGCUUCUGCAACUAUAGGAGCUUGGUUGAACAUAUUUCAGUUUCUAAUUGUAAUGUCUAUAUGCACCAACUGCAUACUACUGGUUUGCUUGUACGACCAAGAGGGGAACUGGAGGAUCGAGCCUGGCCUUGCAGGCAUCCUCAUAAUGGAACACAUCCUUCUCCUUAUCAAAUUUGGCUUCUCUCGAUGUGUGCCUGAGGAACCUGCUUGGGUGAGAUUAAGCCGUGUUAAAAGUGCAGUACAGGCUCGAGAUGUAUGCUCUAAACAACUACUAAAGAGCCUUUCACAGAGAAAGAUCGACUGAUGAAAGUUUCCUGUAAUCACACCAUUUUUCUACAGUUGUGUCUUUUACUUUUUUAAUGAGGCAUAGAAUACAAAGGCAGGGCGAGUUUUUGUUAGAUAGAAUGCAUGCUAACUAGGAUGUUUUCCUUGUGGCUUCUGUGAGAGUUUAGGAUUACACCAAACUGUAAGUAAAUUCUGAUUUUCUUGAUCAUCUGGUUUUGAGAUUCAUACCAUAUCCACUUGCAUCAUAUGAUCGCCAAUUUCUGCAGUGAAUGACCAAGCUGAAAGCAUAACAACAAAUGAAGCAACAACAGAUUGAAACUAAAGAACUUCAUUGUCAGUCUCGGCAACGAAAGCUUCAAGUAUCAGAUCUUGUCUCUGAUCUUCUGCUGGAGCCGAAGCUUCCACUGAUUUGACGAGCAUAUU